GAAAAUUCAGAGACCAAGAGGAGAACAGGAAGGUUUCAAGCCUUACAGAGAGAAUGACGUGGGUCAGCAGGCAGCUGGACAGAAGCCUCGGUCCAACAAUUACCAGAGAAGGCACAGAGUGAUCAUUAAGCUCCCAGCUUCAAGUCCCAACUCCACCAUUGGGACAGUUCCUUCAUCGGUCCCUGCCUCAGUUCCCCCAUCUGCUUAAUGGGGGUCCUCAUGGCUUCGACUCCUAGGAUUGUCAUGAGAAUUGAAGGUGUUAAAGCAUGAGAACUGCUUGGAACAGUGGCCGGCGCUAGGUUUACUACACCGAGGAUAGGAAAUUUUAGUGGGAAACGAGCUCUCUGGAGGAGAGGUCCCAGCGUUGU
Molecule: long non-coding RNA, 368 nt
Organism: Phacochoerus africanus (Common warthog)
Lineage: Eukaryota; Metazoa; Chordata; Mammalia; Artiodactyla; Suidae
Exons: 3
Source: RefSeq, a predicted model, not a curated record